Non-coding RNA from Heligmosomoides polygyrus, 75 nucleotides. The record is from Rfam. NCBI's taxonomy places the organism in Eukaryota, Metazoa, Nematoda, Chromadorea, Rhabditida, Heligmosomidae.
GCGCCGGUGGUGUAAAGGCGUAGAGCAUUCCCGCCCGGUCAGAGAGAAGUGUGGGUUCGAGUCCCGCCUGGCGCU